GUCUUAUUGAUUAUAAUUUUAAGUCUAAUCUGCCCUAUGAUUAAUUAAAUGGCUGCAGUAUUUUAACUGUACAAAGGUAGCAUAAUAAUUAGUUUCUUAAUUAGGAACUGGAAUGAAUGAUUGGACGAGAUAAUAACUGUCUUAAUUUAAAUUUUAGAAUUUUAUUUUUAAGUUAAAAAGCUUAAAUUUUUUUAAAAGACGAGAAGACCCUAUAGAAUUUUAUAUUAAUUAAUUAUUUUAUUUUUAGUUAUUUGAUUUAGAAUUUAUUAAUGGGAUAUUUGGUUGGGGUGAUUGAAAAAUUUAAUUAACUUUUUUUUUAUUUUUACAUUAAUUUAUGAUUAAAUGAUCCAGAUUUUCUGAUUAUAAGAUUAAAUUACCUUAGGGAUAACAGCGUAAUUUUUUUAGAGAGUUCUAAUCGAUAAAAGAGAUUGCGACCUCGAUGUUGGAUUAAAGUUAAUUUUUAAUGUAGGAGUUAAAAUAUUAGGUCUGUUCGACCUUUGAAACUUUACAUGAUCUGAGUUUAAACCGGUGUGAGCCAGGUUGGAUUCUAUCUUUAAUAAGAUUAAAUAUUUUAGUACGAAAGGACCAAUUAUUUGUUAUAUUAAUUAAAUUUGAAUAUUAAUAUUAUUUUGGCAGAUUAGUGUUUUAAAUUUAGAAUUUAAGGAUGUGAUUUAUUUCACAGAUAAUAC
Molecule: unclassified non-coding RNA, 689 nt
Filed under: Bathysciella jeanneli
Lineage: Eukaryota; Metazoa; Arthropoda; Insecta; Coleoptera; Leiodidae
Description: partial contains 16S ribosomal RNA (rrnL) and tRNA-Leu (trnL)
Rfam family: Bacterial large subunit ribosomal RNA (bases 194-555)
Source: RNAcentral